RNAcentral lists this ribosomal RNA (506 nucleotides) under uncultured bacterium. RNAcentral describes it as "partial 16S ribosomal RNA". It matches the Rfam family "Bacterial small subunit ribosomal RNA", at positions 29 to 523 of the family's 1533-position model. The record is from RNAcentral.
AGUGAACGCUGGCGGUAGGCCUAACACAUGCAAGUCGAACGGCAGCAUAGAGGAGCUUGCUCCUUGGGUGGCGAGUGGCGGACGGGUGAGGAAUACAUCGGAAUCUACUCUGUCGUGGGGGAUAACGUAGGGAAACUUACGCUAAUACCGCAUACGACCUACGGGAGAAAGCAGGGGAUCUUAGGACCUUGCGCGAUUGAAUGAGCCGAUGUCGGAUUAGCUAGUUGGCGGGGUCAAGGCCCACCAAGGCGACGAUCCGUAGCUGUUCUGAGAGGAUGAUCAGCCACACUGGAACUGAGACACGGUCCAGACUCCUACGGGAGGCAGCAGUGGGGAAUAUUGGACAAUGGGCGCAAGCCUGAUCCAGCCAUACCGCGUGGGUGAAGAAGGCCUUCGGGUUGUAAAGCCCUUUUGUUGGGAAAGAAAUCCAUCUGGUUAAUACCCGGGUGGGAUGACGGUACCCAAAGAAUAAGCACCGGCUAACUUCGUGCCAGCCGCCGCGGUAA